Molecule: ribosomal RNA, 633 nt
Filed under: Duganella rivi
Lineage: Bacteria; Pseudomonadati; Pseudomonadota; Betaproteobacteria; Burkholderiales; Oxalobacteraceae
Description: bacterial SSU rRNA
Rfam family: Bacterial small subunit ribosomal RNA
Source: RNAcentral
CGGAACGUACCCAAGAGUGGGGGAUAACGUAGCGAAAGUUACGCUAAUACCGCAUACGAUCUAAGGAUGAAAGCAGGGGAUCGCAAGACCUUGUGCUCUUGGAGCGGCCGAUAUCUGAUUAGCUAGUUGGUGGGGUAAAGGCCCACCAAGGCAACGAUCAGUAGCUGGUCUGAGAGGACGACCAGCCACACUGGAACUGAGACACGGUCCAGACUCCUACGGGAGGCAGCAGUGGGGAAUUUUGGACAAUGGGGGCAACCCUGAUCCAGCAAUGCCGCGUGAGUGAAGAAGGCCCUCGGGUUGUAAAGCUCUUUUGUCAGGGAAGAAAAGGCUGUGGCUAAUAUCCGCGGCUCAUGACGGUACCUGAAGAAUAAGCACCGGCUAACUACGUGCCAGCAGCCGCGGUAAUACGUAGGGUGCAAGCGUUAAUCGGAAUUACUGGGCGUAAAGCGUGCGCAGGCGGUUUUGUAAGACUGUCGUGAAAUCCCCGGGCUCAACCUGGGAAUGGCGAUGGUGACUGCAAGGCUAGAGUUUGGCAGAGGGGGGUAGAAUUCCACGUGUAGCAGUGAAAUGCGUAGAUAUGUGGAGGAACACCGAUGGCGAAGGCAGCCCCCUGGGUCAAAACUGACGCUC